This is a regulatory RNA element of Flavobacteriaceae bacterium 3519-10, 35 nucleotides long. It matches the Rfam family "DUF805b RNA". Rfam says of the family: Bacteroidetes, Chlorobi (1 example), Proteobacteria. Lineage (Flavobacteria) Lineage: Bacteria; Pseudomonadati; Bacteroidota; Flavobacteriia; Flavobacteriales; Flavobacteriaceae. The record is from Rfam.
AAAGGGGAAGCCGAAAACCUUUUUCAGAGUAGGCA